CACAACAGUCAGCCAAGCUAAGCUUCGCUUCAGUUCUUGCACAGUUCAGCUAUACAUCCUGGGAGGUAGAGGUGAUGAUGGAGUACGAACCACAGAGCUUCUCCUGGCCGGCCGCGCUGGCGUCGUGGCUGGCGAGCUUCUGCUGCGGCUCUGAAGGCGGCAGCCACGGCGAGCCGGUCGCCGGCGACGGCCCGGCCAGGCGGAUGGCCGCGGCUGCCCGGCACCUCAACGGCGCUCACAAGAUUAAGUUCUCCUAGCUAGUUCUUCCAGCUGCUACCUUCUGCUUCACCUACUGGAAAUUAAUAUUUUUCUAGCAAAAAAUGGUUUCCCCUCCGAUUUCAUUAAGAGAAACCACGCAGACCAGUACCAGUUCAGUUCAAAAGCAAAAGAAAAGGAACAAAAAAAGAAGCUAAGGCAAAAGAGGAUUUCACCUACUGGAAUAUACUAUGAUGAUACAAUUAUGAUUCGUGUAGCCACUACGUAGGUUUUCCCUUCUCGCUAUCUGCCGUAGUGUGUGCGAGAGGGGAAUCGUGAUGUAACCCUCUGUGGACUGUGGUGAACUUUCUUUCUUCGGUGCCGAUCGAUCGAUCGAUGGAUCACGAUCCAAAGUUGGAAAUGAUAGGCGUCUCACGUGCCAUGAAGGCGACAGCGCACUCCCAAAGCCCCGAGCUUACAUGCAUGCUUCCCCCCUAAAAAACAGAUCCAUGUUCCGCACAUACAAAUCGAACCGAAAAAUCAAGCGACCAAAACCAAAAUACAUCCAUGAUCGCGCGACCAUUCGGCUGUCUCGCCAACUCCCGAUGGGUGGCGCUGGUUUGGCUGUCUCGGUAACUCUCGCUGUGUCGCAGGAAUGUGAGUGAAUUGCAAAAAA
RNAcentral lists this ribosomal RNA (871 nucleotides) under Triticum aestivum (bread wheat). RNAcentral's name for it is "partial small subunit ribosomal RNA". Lineage: Eukaryota; Viridiplantae; Streptophyta; Magnoliopsida; Poales; Poaceae. The record is from RNAcentral.